This 111-nucleotide ribosomal RNA is filed under the name Chinchilla lanigera (long-tailed chinchilla). The record is from RNAcentral. Lineage: Eukaryota; Metazoa; Chordata; Mammalia; Rodentia; Chinchillidae.
GUCCACGGCCACAGCACCCUGAAUGCACCUGAUCUCUGAUCUCAAAAGCUGAGAAGGGUUGGGCCUGGUUACUACUUGGAUGGGAGAAUGUCUCACAGGGCGGCCUGUACC